CAGGCCCUCCCACUCCCUGUAAUAUCUGGCUGAGGUGUGAAUGGCUGACUCCAGCAGGGCGCUGGGGCAGAGACCACGUCCUAAACCCAACUCAAAUGUGGGCUGUGCUCUUGGCUGAAGAAAAGCAUGGAAAGCAGUUGGGGACCUGCAUCCCCAAGACUGUCAGCCCUUCUCCAGGGCUAGCAACAAGCAGAGUGUAGCAGUGAGAAGAUGCUCUUGGCAGGCUCCAGAUAGCUGUGCCCUCAGCCCAGGAGGACUCAGCCAAUGAAGACUCAGCUAAUGAAAGCUCAGCAUGGAGGUGGCAAAGGGCUGCAGCCCCACCAAACUCUUUGCCUCCAGGCGCUGUGGUGGUGAAGAACUGAAAUACACAAACCUUGGGGCUUCCCCUUGUCCCUGAAACUGCAGAAGAUGCUGGCUCGGGAGAGCCCAGGUGAGAAAGCUGCUGCAGGAGCCAGAAACUUUGGCAAAGACUCUUUCUUUGCAAGUAAGAAAGCUAGUUGGGAAAGAGGACCAACUGUUCCUUCUAAAUUCCCAGGGAGUGGAGGGUACGUGAGGCCCUGUGAUUCAUUGGCCAGGAGUAUCUGCUCCAGCUGCCAGGCCAGAGUGAUCAAUCCAAAAGUGCUUCUGAAAAUGAGGCCAGACCCACAUUAAUGAAGCCUGAUUGCCUCAGAAUUAUUGUCGGAUUAAUUAGCAGCUUUGCCAGUAGCCCAUGUGUUCAGGGUCAGUAACAAUUUAUGGUGAGUCACAUUUAAGUAAUUUCAUUCAAUUUAACCAGCAUUUGCUGCACCUACUAAGCACAGAGUUUUAGGCAAACCUAAUGUAAGAACAGGGUCUGAACUGGACUUCCAAUGCCAAGGAUUCUAGGCCUAGAUCUGCCGUAUACAAGUCAUUUACCAGUAGGAAAAAAAUCACUUUGUCUUUCUGGCCUCAGUUUCCCCAUUUGUAAAAAAAAAAAAAAAAAGGUGGGAUGGAAUUGACUCAAUAGUUGGUCAGUUUUCUCCAAUAUCAGUGAGGUAGGAGGUGGAGCUCUACUCCAGAGACAGGGCUUGGACACCAGAUCAGAUUGAGGAGUAGCUAAAAAUGGGCCAGGGUGAAAGCAGCUUUAAAUCAGACACACCCACCAGUGUGUCAUGUCAAUUUACUGUUGGCAUGGCAACACCUAGGAAUUACUGCCCUUUUCCAUGGCAAUGACCCAAUGACUCAAAAGUUAGUACCCUUUCCCUAGAAAUUUCUGCAUAAACUGCCUCUUAAUCUUCAUGCAAUUAAAAGUGGGUAUAAAUAUGACUGCAAAACUGUCCUGAGCUACUACUCUCUGCCUAUGAGGCAGCCCUGCUCUGCAGGAGCAGUCACGGAGCUAUAACACUGCCUCUUCAAUACAGCUGUUUUCUUCUACCUCUGGCUUGCCCUUGGAUUCCUUCCUGUGCAAAGCCAAGAACCCUCACAGGCUCCAUGUUGGGGCUUGCUUUUUGAGAGCCUGAAAUGUAAAAUUAGAUAAGACACAUACAUACAAAAGGAAAAUUCAUUAAUUCCAUGAAUGUGUUUAUCCACAAAUAUUUACUGAUCAGUUCCUACUAGGUUCCAGACACUAUACAAAAUAAUGUAAGAUAAGCUUACCUUCAAACACAUACAGUCUACUGGGGAAGACCAUGAACAAAUGCACAGUUGGAGCAUAGGCACAGAGCAGGGAGCUUUUGAAUUAGAGGGAGGGUAGCAAAGUUGUGCCAGAGGAAGUAACAUCGUACUGAGAAAUAAAAAAGAGAUGAAAGGCAUCUCAUCAAAGAGUAUAGAAUUUAAUAAGACAUAGAGUCAUGAUAAAAGUAUGUUGGGGGAAUGAAGGUGUAUUCUGUGAGAAUAAUAACGAAUGUGGCAGGAAAACUGCAUGAGAGCUAGGUUAUAGGAGAACAUUUUGUUUGGAAUUAAAUUCUGGAAGCCAAGUGAAUCUACUGAAGGAAUAUGACAUGACAUGGUCAGAUUUUGAUUCUACGGUAGUCUAGAAGCAGAGAGGAAGAUAAAUUGUUGAGGGAAGAUGUUAAAGACAAAGAAGCCCAUCAGGAGGCUUCUACAAUUAUCUAGACAAGGGAUGGUGCUGAUCUCACCUAAGACAGUAAAGCUAGAGAGAAUAAAGGUGAUACAAGCAAUGUUUCAAUAGCGGAUAUUGUAAUUCUUGGUGACUGAUUAAAUAUGGGAGAUCCAUAGUGUUG
RNAcentral lists this long non-coding RNA (2201 nucleotides) under Homo sapiens (human). RNAcentral's name for it is "HSALNT0385065". The record is from RNAcentral. Lineage: Eukaryota; Metazoa; Chordata; Mammalia; Primates; Hominidae.